This 210-nucleotide long non-coding RNA is filed under the name Elaeis guineensis (African oil palm). RNAcentral's name for it is "long non-coding RNA (EGUI_LNC035468)". Lineage: Eukaryota; Viridiplantae; Streptophyta; Magnoliopsida; Arecales; Arecaceae. The record is from RNAcentral.
GCUAUGUGCUUAAAAAGUAAUUUCAAAUUUCUAUCAACUAUCAUAUACUUAAGGCUAUAUGCAGAGGGAUACAUGAGUUUUUGUCAAUUGCUAACUAUCAAUUUCUGUCACCUAUUAGAAGCAACAUCAAUUGACUUUAUCCAUGCUACACAUCAAUAUCUAUCAGCCUAAAUGCCUGUCACCUACUUAAAAUGAUGGCAUGACACAACC